GAUGAACGCUAGCGGCAGGCUUAACACAUGCAAGUCGAGGGGCAGCACGAGGUAGCAAUACUUUGGUGGCGACCGGCGCACGGGUGCGUAACACGUAUCCAACCUGCCGUCUACUCUUGGACAGCCUUCUAGAAAGGAAGAUUAAUACAAGAUGGCAUCAUGAGUCCGCAUGUUCACAUGAAUUAAAGGUAUUCCGGUAGACGAGUGGGGAUGCGUUCCAUUAGAUAGUAGGCGGGGUAACGCCCACCUAGUCUUCGAUGGAUAGGGGUUCUGAGAGGAACGGUCCCCCCA
Molecule: ribosomal RNA, 291 nt
Filed under: uncultured bacterium
Lineage: Bacteria
Description: partial 16S ribosomal RNA
Rfam family: Bacterial small subunit ribosomal RNA
Source: RNAcentral